GACGAACGCUGGCGGCGUGCCUAAUACAUGCAAGUAGGACGCAGUUGCGAACGGGUGAGUAACGCGUAGGUAACUCCCCCUUAGAGGGGGAUAACUAAUGGAAACGAUAGCUAAUACCGCAUACUAGUAGAUGGACCUGCGUUGUAUUAGCUAGUGGGUAGGGUAAUGGCCUACAGAGGCAACGAUACAUAGCCGAACCGAGAGGGUGAUCGGCCAAGCUGGGACGGAGACACGGGCCAGACUCCUACGGGAGGCAGCAGUAGGGAAUCUUCGGAAAUGGGGGGAACCCUUACCGGGCAACGCCGCGGGAGUGAAGAAGGUUUUCGGAUCGUAAAGCUCUGUUGUUAAGGAAGCGGUACUUAACCAGAAAGGGACGGCUAACUACGUGCCAGCCGCCGCGGUAAUUC
This 407-nucleotide ribosomal RNA is filed under the name uncultured bacterium. RNAcentral's name for it is "partial 16S ribosomal RNA". It matches the Rfam family "Bacterial small subunit ribosomal RNA", at positions 28 to 526 of the family's 1533-position model. The record is from RNAcentral.